GUCUAUGGCCAUGCCACCCUGAACAACCCCAUUCCUGUCUGAUCUCAGAAGCUAAGCAGGGUCAGGCCUGGUUAGUACUUAGAUGGGAGACCACCUAGGAAGACCAGGUGCAGUAGGCA
RNAcentral lists this ribosomal RNA (119 nucleotides) under Pteropus alecto (black flying fox). Lineage: Eukaryota; Metazoa; Chordata; Mammalia; Chiroptera; Pteropodidae. The record is from RNAcentral.